GCUUUGAUUUCUUUAGUUGAAGAGAACUGGAAAGUUCCGUCGUAGAAGGUAAUAACCCUGUAGGCGAAAAGGAAAGAAAAGUAGAUCUACUCCAGAGUACCACGAGACACGUGAAACCUUGUGGGAAGCUGGGAGGACCAUCUCCCAAGGCUAAAUACUACCUAGUGACCGAUAGUGAAGCAGUACCGUGAGGGAAAGGUGAAAAGAACCCCGGAAGGGGAGUGAAAUAGAAUCUGAAACCGUGUGCCUACAAUCGGUCGGAGCACAUUAAAGUGUGACGGCGUACUUUUUGUAGAACGGGCCAGCGAGUUACGAUAUAUAGCGAGGUUAAGCACUUAUGGUGUGGAGCCGAAGGGAAACCGAGUCUGAAUAGGGCAACUAGUUGUAUAUUGUAGACCCGAAACCGGGUGACCUAUCCAUGGCCAGGAUGAAGCGGAAGUAAAAUUCCGUGGAGGUCCGAACCACGUUGGUGUUGAAAAACCAUGGGAUGAGCUGGGGAUAGCGGAGAAAUUCCAAUCGAACUCGGAGAUAGCUGGGUCUCCUCGAAAUAGCUUUAGGGCUAGCGUCGGGUAAUUGAGUAGUGGAGGUAGAGCACUGAAUGGGCUAGGGGCUGACAACAGUUACUGAACCCUAUCAAACUCCGAAUGCCAUAUACUUGUACCCCGGCAGUCAGACUACGAAUGAUAAGAUCCGUGG
RNAcentral lists this ribosomal RNA (696 nucleotides) under Clostridium botulinum C/D. RNAcentral's name for it is "partial 23S ribosomal RNA". It matches the Rfam family "Bacterial large subunit ribosomal RNA", at positions 317 to 1010 of the family's 2925-position model. The record is from RNAcentral. Lineage: Bacteria; Bacillati; Bacillota; Clostridia; Eubacteriales; Clostridiaceae.